CCUCCUCUCACUCUCACUCCCACUCCCACUCCCACUCCCUCCAUUUAAAACCCACCACACUUCAAAAACCCACUUCAAAAUUUGUCAUCUUUCCUCAUUCUUCCCAUUAUGGGCUGCACGGCGUCCAAAUUGGACAACGAGGACACUGUGCGGCGGUGCAAGGACCGGCGCCGUUUAAUGAAAGACGCCGUCUUCGCCCGCCACCACCUCGCCGCCGCCCACGCCGACUACUGCCGCUCCCUCCGCCUCACCGGCUCCGCCCUCGUCUCCUUCGCCAACUUCGAACCCCUCUCCAUCUCCGACCAAACCCCGCCGUCUUCCUCCACCCUACUACCACCACUUCCAACCCCUCUCCUCCUCCUCCUCCCUCCUCCAAUCCCCUCCACCCACGUGUCCCGCCCUCCCAGCUCCCUCCUCCCUCCACCCCCGCCGCCGCCUCCGCCGCUCUCCCCACCAUCGCCAGCUCCAAGCUCCCCCACAUCCUCUCCGACUCCUCCCUCUCCUCCUCCCGCCGCCACCGCCGCCGGAGACAGCCUCCGCCGGGGCCGAAGCUCCCGCACAUACUCUCCGACACCAGCCCCUCCUCCACUCCCCGAAGCCAGAACUCCAACUUCACCGGCGGCGGGUUUCCGACGGCCUUUCAGGCGAACUCGACGUACUCCAGCACGCCGUCGCAGGCCUCCUCCGUGUGGAAUUGGGAGAAUUUCUACCCUCCGUCGCCGCCGGACUCCGAAUUCUUCAACCAGAGAGAGCAGGAGUCCAAACAAUCCCACCACCUCGACGAUUCCGACGACGACGACAACACCGAGCCGGAAACCGAAACCGAGGCAUCGGAAUACAAUUACUUCCACAACAUGCCCAAAUCCCAACCCACCGCCCGCCAAAACCACUCGUAUUCUCAGUCGGAGAAGUACGCCCAGUCCGAAACCGAGAGAUCAGAGUACGAUUUCUUCGUCCCCAACCGUAACCCUAAAGCUCCGGCCAAGACUCAGUCGGAGAAGUACGCUCAGUCGGAGAGAGAAGAGGUCCACUGCAGCGAGUGGGGCGAUCACGAUCGCUACAGCACCACGAGCUCGUCUGAAAACGAAGACGACGACAGGGAUUCGAGAUCCGAGAUGGGGACCCGGUCCAAUUUCGACCCGUCGGUUCGGGCCGAGUCGGUCGCGGGCUCGGUGCCGCCGGCCCAGACGAUGCCGAAGUACGCGCCG
RNAcentral lists this long non-coding RNA (1208 nucleotides) under Rosa chinensis. Its description in RNAcentral is "sRNA RchiOBHm_Chr1g0347881". The record is from RNAcentral. Lineage: Eukaryota; Viridiplantae; Streptophyta; Magnoliopsida; Rosales; Rosaceae.